Molecule: ribosomal RNA, 488 nt
Filed under: Molanna uniophila
Lineage: Eukaryota; Metazoa; Arthropoda; Insecta; Trichoptera; Molannidae
Description: SSU rRNA
Rfam family: Eukaryotic small subunit ribosomal RNA
Source: RNAcentral
GUGUCGGUCUACCGAUUGCGGUACGACGGGCACGUCUGCGGGGCUUCUCGCCGGUGCGUCCACCGCCGGCGUGCGUCGGUCGGCCUCGCGGUCGGCCGCGCACCGAGGCGGACCGUCGCGGCUGUUUACUUUGAACAAAUUAGAGUGCUCAAAGCGGGCUAACACUCGCCUGAAUAUUGUACGCAUGGAAUAAUAGAAUAGGACCUCGGUUCUGUUWUGUUGGCUUUCUGAUACCAGAGGUAAUGAUUAAUAGGGACAACUGGGGGCAUUCGUAUUGCGACGUUAGAGGUGAAAUUCUUGGAUCGUCGCAAGACGGACUAAAGCGAAAGCAUUUGCCAAAGGUGUUUUCAUUAAUCAAGAACGAAAGUUAGAGGUUCGAAGGCGAUUAGAUACCGCUGUAGUUCUAACCAUAAAUGAUGCCAGCCAGCGAUCCGCCGAAGUUUCAUAAUUUUAACCCGGUGGGCAGCUCCCGGGAAACCAAAGCUUUC